Molecule: long non-coding RNA, 179 nt
Filed under: Microcebus murinus (gray mouse lemur)
Lineage: Eukaryota; Metazoa; Chordata; Mammalia; Primates; Cheirogaleidae
Description: lncRNA (ENSMICG00000048646.1)
Source: RNAcentral
CUGUGUGUGGUCGACCUCUGGGAAGGCCCUCGCCUUGCAGCCUCGGUGCAGUGGGACAGCAGUUCUGUUUUUUCCAGUCAGUCACUGGUGGCCAUCAAUGAUGACAGGUGGCUGGAGCCACUCACCGUGGCCAUCCUGGAGAAGAUAAAGAAUAGCGGUGACAAUGAGGAGCAGAAGGU